UGGGAUAUGAGAAGCCGAGGAAAGCGUGUUCCCAAAGCUAUUUGUGACCACCCCUUCCUCUUCUCCCUAACAAGGAAACCCUGCCUGUGACGAGCUGUACAAGGCCUGGCUCAGCGGCUGGCGGGACAGCAACUGGAGACUUAGGAAGAAAAACAACUUCUAAACGUGGUGUUCGUGCAAGAAAGUAUCAGGGUCCUGGCUCUGUCUUAGAGGAGUAGAAUCAUAUUCAGCAGAUCCUGCAUAUUCCUGGAAGGGGCUUUCUGACCACAUGAUCUUCAGGGUGACACAUGGACAAGAAACAGAUCUUCUUCUUGGGGAAAAAUACCAGCACACAGUCAACUUCUGGAAAAGGCAGUUCUUACUUUGAUGCAUCAUGGAAGAUCACCUAAGCCAAAAUAAAUAUCAAACUGUCCAAAAAGCACCUGGAUUAUUAAAAAUAAAAUGAAGUCCCUGUACCAUAUUUGAAGCUAAAUACCAGCUCAGUGCCUGGCCCACAAAAGGUAAUAAAUGGAUCUGCUGUGAGCCUCACAAAAAUCAACUGCAGUUUUGCAUAUUAACAUGCUCAUUCAUCAAGUAACCAUAAAAAUGUCCUGUGAAUUAAAAAAAAAAGAAAUUGAGAUAGGGAAAACACAGGUGCUCCACCCAGGGGGAAAAAAUGUAGCACUUUAAUGUAGACUAACUGAUUUCAGCUAUUAGGAAACCUAGGGAAUCCCAUCCCUUUACAAAAAUAUUUUCAAAUUCUCUUUGAAAAGCAGAGUGGGAAAAUGUUGAGGAAAUAAGGCCUUCCUGUUUCUGCCACAUGUGGAUAAUUAUCCAGCUGCAUUUCCAAAAUAAGAAUGGCUGGAAAAUUCUUUCGGAGAGCUUCUUGCAGCUGAAUAUCAAAGGAAAUUUGCACGUUUCUGAAACUAUUGUUCUUGGGGUUCAUGACAGAAUUAUGAGGGCUCUCCUGUUUUUGUCUCUAAAUACAAAUAAAUAAACUUCAGUGAUUUGAACCUAUGGGAUCUCCCAGCAGAUUUUUCUUCUUUUAUAUGAUGGCUAUAUAGUAAGCAAACAACAUUUUGAUGAGGACAAUUUCACUUCAUUUAUUUGAGGCCAAAAGCCACUGUUAAAUCUUU
RNAcentral lists this long non-coding RNA (1115 nucleotides) under Equus caballus (horse). Its description in RNAcentral is "lncRNA (ENSECAG00000031713.3)". Lineage: Eukaryota; Metazoa; Chordata; Mammalia; Perissodactyla; Equidae. The record is from RNAcentral.